RNAcentral lists this ribosomal RNA (423 nucleotides) under uncultured bacterium. RNAcentral's name for it is "bacterial SSU rRNA". It matches the Rfam family "Bacterial small subunit ribosomal RNA", at positions 954 to 1380 of the family's 1533-position model. The record is from RNAcentral.
GCAUAACGCGAAGAACCUUACCCACCUUUGACAUGUACGGAAUCCUUUAGAGAUAGAGGAGUGCUCGAAAGAGAGCCGUAACACAGGUGCUGCAUGGCUGUCGUCAGCUCGUGUCGUGAGAUGUUGGGUUAAGUCCCGCAACGAGCGCAACCCUUGCCAUUAGUUGCUACGAAAGGGCACUCUAAUGGGACUGCCGGUGACAAACCGGAGGAAGGUGGGGGAUGACGUCAAGUCCUCAUGGCCCUUAUAGGUGGGGCUACACACGUCAUACAAUGGCUGGUACAAAGGGUUGCCAACCCGCGAGGGGGAGCUAAUCCCAUAAAGCCAGUCGUAGUCCGGAUCGCAGUCUGCAACUCGACUGCGUGAAGUCGGAAUCGCUAGUAAUCGUGGAUCAGAAUGUCACGGUGAAUACGUUCCCGGGUC